GAUGAAGAACGUAGCGAAAUGCGAUAAGUAGUGUGAAUUGCAGAAUUCAGUGAAUCAUCGAAUCUUUGAACGCACAUUGCGCCCCUUGGUAUUCCAUGGGGCAUGCCUGUUCGAGCGUCAUUUGUACCUUCAAGCUUUGCUUGGUGUUGGGUGUUUGUCUCGCCUUUGCGUGUAGACUCGCCUUAAAAUAAUUGGCAGCCGGCGUAUCGAUUUCGGAGCGCAGUACAUCUCGCGCUUUGCACUCAUAACGACAGCGUCCAAAAGUACAUUUUACACUCUUGACCUCGGAUCAGGUAGGGAUACCCGCUGAACUUAAGCAUAUCAAUAAGCGGAGGA
This 336-nucleotide unclassified non-coding RNA is filed under the name soil metagenome. Its description in RNAcentral is "partial contains 5.8S ribosomal RNA, internal transcribed spacer 2, and large subunit ribosomal RNA". The stretch from base 1 to 120 matches the Rfam family "5.8S ribosomal RNA", at positions 35 to 154 of the family's 154-position model. The record is from RNAcentral.